GGCGGGGUUUAUGGCAGUGGUAAAUAGUAACGAACAGACCGAAAUCCAAUGAAAACGCUCUGUCAAAGAUGAUCUAUUAUAUUGACAAAAUGGUCGAUUGACCGCUCUAACAAUGGAAAUACAGGCCAAAGGCAGCCGGUAGCCAGCAGAUCCGCUCCGCACCAUUAGUCAUCAUUCAGAUUAUUCAAAUUCAAUCAUGAAGUGUUUAGAGAGUGAUUAGAAGGACAAUAGAGCGCUGAGUACCAAGCCAUUAGUGAGGGCCGUAGACUACACAUCCACGCCACUAAUUUGCACAGUUUUGGAUGGGAUUACCAUGAACAACUGUCAAAGGGAAUUUGAAUGCGGUCAUGACUUGUGACUGCUGGUGUGGCGGUAAUACGGUCACUGCAACAGCCCUAUGAUCAUUGGAUGUUAUUAGAUUUGUGACUUUGCUGACACCACUACAGUAUGGCGGCCCACAGAGACCACACAAGAUACUUUCCACACUGCCCACCUGCGGUCCAGUGGAGUAUGGCUCUGGGCAGGGGCGAAAAUCUGAUAUCAACUUUGGAGGGGACAAUUACAUGAAAUUUUCUCAAGAGCAAUUCCUGAGGGGGACACCAAAAGUAGUGCUGUAACACAUAGCCUACAUUGUAAUAUGGUAAAUGUAUAUUGAGGAACCAAA
Molecule: non-coding RNA, 664 nt
Organism: Salmo salar (Atlantic salmon)
Lineage: Eukaryota; Metazoa; Chordata; Actinopteri; Salmoniformes; Salmonidae
Source: RefSeq, a predicted model, not a curated record